GAAGCCAGUGCACCCAAGUAAAUGGGAGACUCAUCCAGCCUCCUAAGGCAGCCAAGCCGCCAACCCUUCUUGCCCAGGAACUGGGCUGGGUGAGACCAUGUGUGCAGUGGCGGGGGUGGUGGUGCAGAGCUGGUACUGACCUCUCGCCACCCCAGUCUUUCCUGACACAUGAUCUUGGACAGGAAGAAAAAAAGGGGAGAAAAAACUAGCCCGGAAAACCCACUGGAAUAUUUGGCCUAUUCUGAAAAGACAGUAUUUUCUAAGAGGAGUGUGAUCCAUUUCCCCCCCCCCAAAUAAGCUUAAUUAACGCUGUAAAUAAACCAAUACAGUAAACAAAAGUUACCUCUAAAUAAGUACUUAAUUUUUAGCGAAAUCUUUGCUCCACUAAUAAUGCUCUUGGCAACCCCUUUGCUCUCCCAAAUUAAUUGUUCUCGAGUGGUCCCUGGUGUGAAGUUUGAACACAAAUGUGGAUGGAGGUGAGAGGAGAGUUUGCAGUUCACAGAAGGAAGUGAGGCGGACACGCCUGCUAAGCACUGCAUUGCAUCCUCCCGGGCAGUGCUCUGCCGGCUUUUAUAGGUGCAGGAAUAGGAAGCUGUGGAGACAGUCUAAAGACAGAUUUCAUUCCACCACCCCCCCCCCCCCAGCAUUUGAGUUGCUGUCAGGAUUCAAUGCUCAGAAAAUUCUGCAUCACCCCUAGAAAGAACAUAUCAGUCAUACAAGAUGCAGGUUAUUUGUCUUAUUUCUCUAUCAAUCUUGUUCUGGCUCUCUCUCUCCCAGAAGAUCACCUGUCUGCCCUUGAUGUAAAGAAUGGCAUAAAGCUGAAGAAGCCUUUAUAAAUCAAAAAGUGGGGAGCAUUGCUGAACUACUUGUACUUUUGGGUUUGACUCUUUUUAGUUUCUCUCUUAUAACUUAAGAGCAUGAAUAGGACAACGAUUAUGAAUAGAAACAAUAUUUAAAAGAGAAUGCAAACUGAAGCACAUCACAAUGCUAAGAAUAAAAGGCAUAUGUUUUUAACCAAUAACAAAAACUAUGAAAGCCAUUUUUACCAGAGAGAUCAAAGUCCUCACCUAGUUCAUCACUGAAUAUUAAUAACCUAGACUGAAAAUGUUUCUGAUAUAAUAUACGGGGAAAAACAGAGAUGGAAAGUUAAAAAGAGCCCUUAUAUGUAACAGGAUUUGACUGAAUUAUUCAUAAAUUACAUGGCGACUGUCAUCUUGAGAAGUAACAUUGGUAGGUCACCACCUCAGUCAUGGGUGGUUUUUCAGAUGAGAAUUCUGAGCAAGAUUGUUUAAAGAUUUUGAGAAACCUGGAACUGAAUACUCAUUGGCACCCUCCCGUACUUUUCCCCUCAGUAUGUGGAUACUGUUUGUUGUAAACCAUCCAGAGACGUGAGUUUUGGGUGGCAUAAAAAUAUGCUAAAUAAAUAAAUACUGCUUG
Molecule: long non-coding RNA, 1437 nt
Organism: Hemicordylus capensis (graceful crag lizard)
Lineage: Eukaryota; Metazoa; Chordata; Lepidosauria; Squamata; Cordylidae
Exons: 3
Source: RefSeq, a predicted model, not a curated record